CAUAAGAAUGCACUAAGAUUUCCUUAGAGAACUAAUUGUGCUAUGGUUUCUUAAUCAUUAAGAUGAUCACAAAAACUGAUACUAAAGUACUCUCCCAUCUUUUCAGAUUUGAGAAACUUUUAUCCUUCUGCCUAAGUUGAUUCUUCUUAUUCGCUCUGUCAUACAUUGGAACCUUUUUCCAAUGUCUCAGAAUUACACUUCAGCUUGUAAGUAUAACCAUAUUUACUGAGCUUUUGUAAAUUAUGACGAAUAAUCUUAUCGAUCUUUUGUGGUGGACUUGACCAGUGGACAAGAAUGUGUACUCAAUCCCUUUGUCCUUUUACUUGACUCACACAUCCAUGUGAACAAGUAGUUAGUCUUAAUUUUGCAAAUGCUUGAAAGCUCUCAUCCAUCAUGCUAUACAACUUGCAUGAUUCCAAGUUUCUAUCCAACUGAAACUUGGGUGAUGAGUAUCUUUCCUUAUUUGGUAAAUUUAGACUCUACCACAAAUGAAAGAAUCAAAUUCAUAUUUCUACUCUUGCUCUUAAUGGAAUCUUUACAAGCAACAAAAAUUUUCACAAAUACCAUUGUAAGGAUAUUUUAAAAUAAUUAAAAUCAAUUUUUUUUCCUUUUAUUUCAAAAACUUUGUAGAAAAACUAUCCUUACAGUGUAAAAGCACAUGAAAACUUUGUUGUUAUCUAUUCCUAAGCAAUAUAUCAUAACUCCUUUGAAGUGGCUCAAUAAUCCGAUCUUCAAACUAUGUGAUAGAAAUCCAUCUAAGCGAUCANNNNNNNNNNNNNNNNNNNNNNNNNNNNNNNNNNNNNNNNNNNNNNNNNNNNNNNNNNNNNNNNNNNNNNNNNNNNNNNNNNNNNNNNNNNNNNNNNNNNGGUUCUAGAAUUUAAUCCAAGAUUAUUGGUGUGUUUAAGUGGCAUGUAAACACUCAAAUUUGAGUUUACUCCCCAUGAAGAUAAGUUUAUGGCCCAAGCAUGUUCUUGGGCAGUAAACUCAUGUUUACUCCUCAAAAAUGAUGUUCAAGGUGUUCUAAGUCCGAUUUGAUAAGCCAUUAAGUCAUAUCUAAGCCCCAAAGGUGGAUUGGAAGGGUUUUAAGGCUCAAAAACCCUCUUUAUGUGUGUUUAUGGCCCAAGCAUGUUCCAGGGCUGCAAACUCAUGAAUAUGGUCCUAAAUCAUAGUUUGAACUUGGUUUUGGAAGCUGAAAAGGUUGAACAACAAGUUAGGGUGAUUACCUUGAUGUUUUGGAGCUUGAAAUUGGAUGAUUUUAGACCUUUAGUUGGAUUGAGGAGAGAGGUUAGAGAGAGUAGUGAGAGAGAGAAAAAGCUUCAAAUGAAAGCUUAAUUCACUUUAAAUAUGUUCCAAGUUCGGGACACGGUAGAAUUCUACCCGAUACCGACAUUAGACGUGGCUUUUGGUCGCACCCGACUUAGUUGUCGUAACCCGAUAUGGUAGAUUCUAAAAAUAUUUCGAUUACUAGAAUGGGGUGUUAAUAUGAGUUCUAAAUGCAUUUGGACACCCAUUAAGUCAUAAUAGCAAUCUCAAAUUAAUGACUUAAUUUAAUAGCGUAAACGGAAACGAAAUUGAAAACGACGAAUGGAUUAACGAAAAGGGGUUACAAAUGAUGGAAACGAACUUCGGGUUGUCACAUUAUCCCCCGUUAGAGGGAAUUUCGUCCCGAAAUUUAGAAUUUAGAUACAAAUCAUGGAUCUGGAAAGAGAUGUUGAUACUUUUGCUUCAUCGAGUCUUCACGCUCCCAAGUGAAUUCCGGUCCCCGCUUGGCAUUCCAGCGAACCUUCACUAUCGGAAUGCGACUUUGUUUCGUGCGUUUGAUCUCUUGAUCCAUGAUUUCGAUUGGUUCCUCCACGAAGUUCAAGUUUUCGUUGAUCUCAAUCUCGUCUAAGGGAAUCACUAGGGUUUCAUCGGAUAAGCACUUCUUGAGAUUUGAGACAUGGAAGACGGAAUGAAUGUUACUGAGCUCAUGGGGUAAUCGAUGUUUAUAGGUUACCGAACCGAUCCUGGCGAGGAUCUAGAAGGGUCUAAUGUACCUCGGAUUAAAUUUCCCACACUUUCCGAAGCGUAUCAUGCCUUUCCAGGGCGAGACCUUCAACAGGACAUGGUCUCCAACCUGGAACUCCAGAGGUUUCUGUCGAUUAUCAGCGUAACUCUUUUGGUGAUCUCGUGAAGCUUUCAAUCGUNNNNNNNNNNNNNNNNNNNNNNNNNNNNNNNNNNNNNNNNNNNNNNNNNNNNNNNNNNNNNNNNNNNNNNNNNNNNNNNNNNNNNNNNNNNNNNNNNNNNCUUAAGUUGGAUUGAGGAGAGAGGUUAGAGAGAGUAGUGAGAGAGAUAAAAAGCUUCAAAUGAAAGCUUAAUUCACUUUAAAUAUGUUCCAAGUUCGGGACACGGUGGAAUUCUACCCGAUACCGACGUUAGAUGUGGCUUUUGGUCGCACCCGACUUAGUUGUCGUAACCCGAUAUGGUAGAUUCUAAAAAUAUUUCGAUUACUAGAAUGGGGUGUUAAUAUGAGUUCUAAAUGCAUUUGGACACCCAUUAAGUCAUAAUAGCAAUCUCAAAUUAAUGACUUAAUUUAAUAGCGUAAACGGAAACGAAAUUGAAAACGAUGAAUGGAUUAACGAAAAGGGGUUACAAAUGAUGGAAACGAACUUCGGGUUGUCACAUUAUCCCCCGUUAGAGGGAAUUUCGUCCCGAAAUUUAGAAUUUAGAUACAAAUCAUGGAUCUGGAAAGAGAUGCGGAUACUUUUGCUUCAUCGAGUCUUCACGCUCCCAAGUGAAUUCCGGUCCCCGCUUGGCAUUCCAGCGAACCUUCACUAUCGGAAUGCGACUUUGUUUCGUGCGUUUGAUCUCUUGAUCCAUGAUUUCGAUUGGUUCCUCCACGAAGUUCAAGUUUUCGUUGAUCUCAAUCUCGUCUAAGGGAAUCACUAGGGUUUCAUCGGAUAAGCACUUCUUGAGAUUUGAGACAUGGAAGACAGAAUGAAUGUUACUGAGCUCAUGGGGUAAUCGAUGUUUAUAGGUUACCGAACCGAUCCUGGCGAGGAUCUAGAAGGGUCCAAUGUACCUCGGAUUAAGUUUCCCACGCUUUCCGAAGCGUAUCAUGCCUUUCUAGGGCGAGACCUUCAACAGGACAUGGUCUCCAACCUGGAACUCCAGAGGUUUCUGUCGAUUAUCAGCGUAACUCUUUUGGUGAUCUCGUGAAGCUUUCAAUCGUUCCCAGAUUUGGAUGAUCUUUUUGGUGGUUUCGCGGAUGAUUUCAGGACCAGUGAGAGCACUAUCGGGGACUUGACUCUUAGCUAGCUAUGUGUUCCUUACCUCGGCCCAGCACAGAGGGGAUCUACACUUGCGACCGUAGAGGGCUUCAAAUGGAGCAGCCUUGAUGCUGGUGUGGUAACUAUUGUUGUACGAGAACUCGAUCAAAGGCAAAUGUGUGUCCCACAAACUUCCAAAAUCGAUGACACAUGCUCUAAGCAUGUCUUCUAGGGUUUGGAUAGUUCUCUCACUCUGUCCAUCGGUCUGGGGAUGAUAAGCCGUACUCAUGUCUAGUUUGGUUCCAAGAGCCUUCUAGAGAGACUGCCAAAAUCUGGAGGUACACCUGCUAUCUCGAUCAGAGAUAAUGGAUGCAGGUACACCGUGCAAUCGGAUUACCUCUUGGAUGUAGAUUCGCGUGAGUCUUUCCAUCUUGAAUGACUAUUUGAUCGGAAUGAAGUGAGCUGAUUUUGUCAAACGAUCGACAAUUACCCAAAUGGUGUCGUACCCACUCGGACAUUUGGGUAACUUGGUGAUGAGAUUCAUGGUAAUCAUCUCCCAUUUCCACUCGGGUAUUUCGGGUUGCUGGAGCAGACCCGAGGGUUUCUGGUACUCGACUUUCACUUUGGCGCAAGUCAUACACUUGCCCACGAAUGUAGCGAUCUCGGCUUUCAUGUUUGGCCACCAGUAUUGUUUCUUGAGAUCCAAGUACAUCUUGUCCGAACUUGGGUGAACAGAGUAUCUAGUCUUGUGCGCUUCCUCCAUGACAAUCUCCCUGAAUCCUCCGAACUUUGGGAUCCAGAUUCGGUCCAUGAAACAGUAGACUCCAUCACCUCUGAUCUCAAGUUUCUUAUCCAUUCCUCUCAAGGCUUCGCUUAACACGUUCUCAGGUUUAAGAGCUUCUAAUUGGGCUUCUCGGAUUUGCAUGGUUAGAUGGGAAUGGAUAGUCAUUGUCAGGGUCUUCACUUUUCGGCUUGAACUAUCCUUUCGGCUAAUGGCAUCUGCUACCACAUUGGCCUUGAUGGGAUGGUAACGGAUUUCACACUCAUAGUAACUGAGUAGUUCUACCCAUCGCCGUUGCCUCAUGUUUAAGUCUUUCUGAUCAAAGAUGUGUUGCAGGCUCUUAUGGUCAGUGAAGAUCGUACACUUGGUUACGUAGAGAUAAUCUCUCUAAAUCUUCAGUGCAAAGACUACGGCACCUAACUCCAAGUCAUGCGUGGUAUAGUUGAUCUCAUGUGCCUUCAGCUGUCUCGAGGCAUAUGCAAUCACUUUUCCCCUUUGCUUACACAGCCUAAGCCCUGGUUAGACGCAUCACAAUAAACAACGAAGUCCUCUGUUCUUUCGGGUAGGGACAGGACCGGUGUGCUACACAAGGCUCGCUUUAAUGUUUGGAAUGCGUUUUCUUGUUUUUCACUCCAACAAAAGGGUACACCUUUCUGUUUCAGAGUGGUUAGGGGUUUGACGAUUCUGGAAAAAUUCUGAAUAAAUCUCCGAUAAUAUUUGGCGAGACCCAAGAAUUGACGAAUUUCUGUGGGUGUCUUCGGUGCCGACCAAUUCUCUAUCACCUUGAUCUUGGAUGGAUCCACGUGAAUACCCUCUUCGCUUACCACAUGGCCGAGGAAAGUUACCUUCCGAAUCCAGAAUUCACACUUGGAAAAUUUUACGUACAGCUUUUCGGAUCUAAGGGUUUCCAACACUGACCUCAAGUGUUUCUUCUGAUCUUCUUCACUUCUGGAGUAGACAAGUAUGUCAUCAAUGAGCACGAUGACGAACUUGUCCAGAAAAGGGAGACACACCCGGUUCAUCAGGUCCAUGAACACUGCCGAUGCGUUGGUUAGACCGAAGGGCAUCACUACAAACUCGUAGUAUCCAUACCGAGUCCUGAAAGCUAUUUUGGAAACAUCACUCUCAUGAACUCGUAGUUGAUGGUACCCUGACCGAAGGUCUAUCUGUGAGAAGUAGCUGACUCCCUGGAGUUGAUCGAAGAGGUCAUCUAUUCGCGGAAGGGGAUAUCAGUUUUUGACGGUCAACUUAUUCAACUCACGGUAGUCGAUACACAUUUGGAAGGAUCCAUCUUUGUUCUUUACAAAUAGAACCGGGGCUCCCCAGGGUGAGGAACUCGGUCUGAUGAACCCUUUGCUGAGUAACUUGUUGAGUUGGCUGGAUAACUCCUGCAUUUCUGCUAGAGCUAAGCGAUACGGAGAUUUAGCUACGGGGGUAGCUCCAGGAAUUAGGUCAAUGUGAAAUUCGACCUGACGUUCGGGACGAAUUCCUGGAAGCUCUUCGAGAAAGACAUCAGGAAAGUUACAUACUUCGGGGAUGCUCGCGAGGUUUUUAAUUUCCUGUUUUUCAUUGAUUACAUGAGCUAGGAAUGCUUGGCACUCCUUCCGUAGAAGCUUUUGAGCUUUGAUGCAGGAAAUGAUACGAAAAUUGGAGCUAAGCUUAUCGCCGUAGAUCAUGAGAAUCUGACCAGAGGGGAGGUUGAGACGAAUAGCUUUUUCAAAAUAGAGGAUAUCAGCAUGAUUGGGACUCAACCAAUCCAUGCCAAUGAUGACAUCAAAGCUCUUUAUGGAAACUGGCAUAAGAUCGAUGGGAAAUGAAUGAUCGUUCAAGGUAAGAGUACAACCUAUGAACACAUCGCUAGCGCUUUCUUUCUCACCGUUAGCCAUCUCGAUGGUAAACGUUUCGGUUAAUGGUUGGGGAUUAGGUUCAUGAUUAUGUUUGAACGAAUGACUAACAAAGCUUCUUUCAGCACCCGAAUCGAAAAGAAUACUAGCAUAAGAGUUGUCGAGAAGGAACGUACCCGAAACAACGGUGGGAUCGGCAACUGCCGCCUCUCGUCCCAUGGCUAGGACUCUCCCAGUGUUAUCAGCUAUCGUCUUCUUGGGGCAGUUCCUCUUGAAAUGCCCAACUUCUCCACAAUUGUAGCAUGCUUGACCAACACCUGCUCUAGAAGAUUGAUUCGCGGAUUGGGCUGGUGCUUUGCAGAAUCGGACCGUGUGCCCCUUUUUACCACAGUUUGUACAUGUCAGCUCACGGCAGGGGCCAGGGUUAUGGUGGUAUUUGCACUUGUCACACUGGAGAAGGUUACCAGCAUACCUACUAGUAGGUGUUUGAGCUGUAGAUCCCACAACAGAAGUAGCAGCAACGGGGGUAGUAGCAGCAUGGACUGCUACAGUCUCUUGUUUCUUUGAGUAUCCUUGAGAAGAUUGACCCUUCUUCUUCUUCCAAAACUUCCUUUUCUCACCACUCCUCUUGGUCGGUUCAGUAGUAGUGGUUGCUUCCUCGUGAUCAUCAUUGUGGUCAAUCAGAGUCUGGGCUAAGCUUUUGGCACUGUCAUAUGUAUCCAGCCUCGCAGAUAAAACAUUUCCUUUGGUUGGCUGGGUCAGUCCCCAGAUGAAUCUCUUUAUCUUCUUAUUCUCCGGAGUAACCAAUCCCGGACAGAGUAAUGCUAGAUCAUCGAAUCUAGAAGUGUAUGCAGCAAUAUCGGAACCCUUCAUCUUUAGGUUCUAGAGCACGUGCUCUAAUUUCUGUAUUUCACCCCGAGGGCAAUACUCAGCUAGAUGGAGUUCUUUCAUGGCUUCCCAGCCCAUGGCAUUGGCUACAGGUAGGGUUAGGGAUUUGACUCGGCCGUUCCACUAAGUCAGAGCUUUAUCAAUAAAGGUACAGGCUGCGAAUUUUACUUUAUCGGAUUCCGAACAGGCACAGAUUUCAAAGAUAGAUUCGAUUUUCUCGAACCGUCUAGAAAGGGAAAUGACACCUCCAAUGCCAUCAAAGGACAUGGGUUUCGCGUUCAUGAAAUCUUUAUAGGAACCCUCUUUUCGGUGUCCCUGGCUACCUUCUUGGUUUUGAGGCUGAGGACCACCUCCUGAACCACCAGGGUUCAUUUGAGACAUAGCAGCUGCCACCGCGGCAGUAACAGCUGCCUGGAACAUCACAGGUCAAAUUGAGGAGGAGGCGGUGGUGGCGGAGGAGGAUUGUUGUUCUUUGAGCUGGGUCUCUUUCUUGGAGGCAUCUUGAUCUAUAAAGAUCAGGAAUGAGAGGAUGGUAAGUCCUCUGAAUUGAAUCAAGAGAUAUGACAGAUAUUGAAUUCUAUUAAAUGAUAAAGCAGGAAUGAAUUUUCAAGGCAGAUAAAUUAUCGCUAAGAGAAUGAUCGAGGAGCAACGUUGGAAUGAGGGUUUCUACAACGAAGCUGGCAAUAGAAAUACUCACAUAGUAUUUCGUGAUUCACUGCGACGACGGCUCAUUGUUUGGGUAUUGGGUAAGUUUUAGGCAUGCUGAACGCUACAGUCACUCCCAAGCUCAUGUUGGCCGUGUCUCGAAUGAAUAUAGUUGGCCAGGCUAUAUUGAUCCUAGACACGACUACAUAACUGCUCAGGUUUAACCACAUCGUACAACACCCAUUUACUUAGGUUUUGUUCUACUUGUAGUUACGAAUUUCGACGGUUGGGUAUACUUAUAUACUUUUUGAAAAUACUUAUAUUUAGAGUAUACUUUUAGUUCAGAGCACUUAGGCCCCUUAGUGUUUAUAGUCUUAUACCAUGUAAGGUUUGGUAUACUUAGUUCACUAUAAACAUGGGCUCUGAUACCAAUCUGUCAAACCCCGAAACCCAAGGCGGAAACGUUUCCGGGGCGGACUCCACGUUAAGUAUCAAAUCCAAUGUACAUAGUAAGCAAAGUAAACAACCAUUACAUUACAUAUAAAUAUUUUACAUUUGUUUUAAAGUAAAGAGUAUUACAAGUGUGAUACAUAUGUAUAUAUAUAGACAAAAGUAAGACAUGUCUUCUACGCAAUCCAUCUUCGCCAAAAGGAAUCAUCGGGUACCUGUCUAAUGUGGACCUGAGAAUACAAGCAGUUUGAAAAUCAGCAUAAAGUUGGUGAGUUCAUAAGCGGUUUUGUUUUCUGAAAAUGUACGAGUUCCUUUCUGUUUACUGAAUAAGUUACGCACCAAGAAAAUCCCAUAUUUUCUUAAAAGUUGGUUACCCAUUCAAAAUGUAAUAUAAAAGAUGUAUACUGGUUACCAAACCGAAAUGUAAUGUAAAAGAUGAAUACUGGUUACCAAACCAAAAUGUAAUGUAAAAGAUGUAUACUGAAAAUCUGGUUAUGUACUAAUGUUACCCUAGGAAAAUCCCAUAUUUUCCUAAAAGAUGGUUACCGAUCUGAAAUGUAAUGUAAAAGAUGUAUACUGAAAACCUGUUUAUCCUUGCGAAAUCUAUUAGUUUUAACAUGCACAUAAAACUAAUAAGUAUGAAGUAAACAAAUUACUAACGCAUUAUUACUAACAAGUAAACCUCUGUUAUCCAAAUUGCGAUUUUCAUAACCAUACUAUAGACUAAAUAUGGCAAUAAGUAGUCCACAUCACCUUAUGACUUUCGUCACCCUUGAACCUUUCGGUUCGGCUGUAGCUAGCAGCCAGGUAUGGGGUAGUAAGCCCCGUAUAGAUCUAUAAACUCAAGUCACGCUACAUAUCUAAGAGAUUCUAGUUACGGAUGCGGUCCUCCACUCGCGUAUCUUUGUGGUGUGUUCACCGAGGAUGUGUCUCCAAUUUAUAGGAAUAACAAAUUUACUAGUAAUAAUACAAUAAUCCUCCACUCGCGUAUCUCUGUGGAGUGUUACCGAGGACAAAACAGUAUACUAAGUUUCAUGUUCAAAGAUCAAAUGUUAUGCUUUUAACUGAUAAAAUGUGGAAAACCAUUUGUGAAAAUAUAAAAUACAACAUUUUAAAACAUUUUUCACAAAUACUACGAUAAUGUGUUCUGCAAGUUCAAACUGUUAUCAGAUAUGAUUAUCAGUGUUAAAAGCAUAUGUAAUAUGAAACACAACACAUGCAAAACAAGUUUUUGAGUACAAGUAUUCCUUGUACUUUGCUUGUAUUCCCCCCUGAAAACAGUGAAAAACAUUGAAAAAGGGUAGGGGUAUGAACUCACCAGGCGAGAAAACAUGACGAUUUGGAUGCUAAGUGUCGGUUCAAGGCUUGAUAACGCGCGAGGUUCCUAUGUAAUAUGAAAUGGUAUACAAAUGUAUCUAAUUAGACUUUAAAUCACUAAUUAGAUAUGAUUAUUCACUCCAAGACGCGAAAACACUUCAAAUCAAGUGUCUGGAGUGACCCGGGUGACAUCUACGGACGUAUAGGACUUUGGAUAACAUGUUUACUCUUUGAGAGUAAACUCCUCAUGGAGUUUUCGGCCCUAUGACCAACUCCACAUGAGUUCACGGCUGUGAACUCAUGAAUGAGGGGUUUAUGGUGCUAAAUGGCUUUAAAACACUAGAGAGUUAAUUCUAGGUUUGAUUUUAAGGCAUGGGGAAGUGAUUUGAGGAAUUUAAGGACCAUUUGAGGAGUUUACGGCAGUAAACUAUGAGUUUACGGCCAUAAAAUCUCAUGUACUCAAUCUCAUUGUGUUUUGGUGGUCCUAAUUCAAUCACAUAUGAUUCAAACAAAUUAUACAAGCCUUAGAAUGGAUUUAGGGCAUCAUUUGACUAGUGUUUGUGAGUUUAUGGCCCAAGAACCCAUUCUUGGGGGUUUAUAGCCGUGAACUCUCAAAGGGAUGGUUUUCAUCAUGUUUAAGGCCCCUAAAUCGAUUGUGGUUGGUUCUAGAAUUUAAUCCAAAACUAUUGGUGUGUUUAAGUGGCAUUUAAACACUCAAAUUUGAGUUUACUCCCCAUGAAGAUAAGUUUACGGCCAAAGCAUGUUCUUGGGCAUUAAACUCAUGUUUACUCCUCAAAAAUGAUGUUCAAGGUGUUCUAAGUCCGAUUUGAUAAGCCAUUAAGUCAUAUCUAAGCCCCAAAGGUGGAUUGGAAGGGUUUUAAGGCUCAAAAACCCUCUUUAUGUGUCUUUAAGGCCCAAGCAUGUUCCAGGGCCGCAAACUCAUGAAUAUGGUCCUAAAUCAUAGUUUGAACUCGGAUUUGGAAGCUGAAAAGGUUGAACAACAAGUUAGGGUGAUUACCUUGAUGUUUUGGAGCUUGAAACUGGAUGAUUUUAGACCUUAAGUUGGAUUGAGGAGAGAGGUUAGAGAGAGAGUAGUGAGAGAGAGAAAAAGCUUCAAAUGGAAGCUUAAUUCACUUUAAAUAUGUUCCAAGUUCGGGACACGGUGGAAUUCUACCCGAUACCGACGUUAGAUGUGGCUUUUGGUCGCACCCGACUAAGUUUCCGUAACCUGAUAUGGUAGAUUCUAAAAAUAUUCGGAUUACUAGAAUGGGGUGUUAAUAUGAGCUCUAAAUGCGUUUGGACACCCAUUAAGUCAUAAUAGCAAUCUCAAAUUAAUGACUUAAUUUAAUAGCGUAAACGGAAACGAAAUUGAAAACGACGAAUGGAUUAACGAAAAGGGGUUACAAAUGAUGGAAACGAACUUCGGGUUGUCACAGUAUGACUCUAAGACUUGUAUUGGAACGAAGUAUGACUCAUCUUAUUGAUUUAACCAUUUCAACAAUUCAAGAUUCCUCUUCUUAGUCAUAAGAAUGCACUAAGAUUUCCUUAGAGAACUAAUUGUGCUAUGGUUUCUUAAUCAUUAAGAUGAUCACAAAAACUGAUACUAAAGUACUCUCCCAUCUUUUCAGAUUUGAGAAACUUUUAUCCUUCUGCCUAAGUUGAUUCUUCUUAUUCGCUCUGUCAUACAUUGGAACCUUUUUCCAAUGUCUCAGAAUUACACUUAAGCUUGUAAGUAUAACCAUAUUUACUGAGCUUUAGUAAAUUAUGACGAAUAAUCUUAUCGAUCUUUUGUGGUGGACUUGACCAGUGCACAAGAAUGUGUACUCGAUCCCUUAGUCCUUUACUUGACUCACACAUCCAUGUGAACAA
RNAcentral lists this long non-coding RNA (11042 nucleotides) under Lactuca sativa (garden lettuce). RNAcentral describes it as "long non-coding RNA (LSAT_LNC007386)". Lineage: Eukaryota; Viridiplantae; Streptophyta; Magnoliopsida; Asterales; Asteraceae. The record is from RNAcentral.